Molecule: ribosomal RNA, 795 nt
Filed under: Triticum aestivum (bread wheat)
Lineage: Eukaryota; Viridiplantae; Streptophyta; Magnoliopsida; Poales; Poaceae
Description: partial small subunit ribosomal RNA
Source: RNAcentral
GAAUUUAUCAUUGACACUCCUGAGAAACUGAAAGCUAAGCUGGAGAUGGUUGAAGCCCUUGGUGAGAUUGAGAUUGCGACCAGGCUUCUGGAAGACAAUCAAAGCGAUCGGGACGAUCCUUUGUAUGCUCGAUACAAGCAGCUUCAUUGUGACUUUACACCUCUGGAAGUUGAUUCGGAAGAAUACUCCAUGAUAAAAACAUAUUUGACGAACACGCAUGCCAAAAGGCAAUCCGGUUAUACGGUCAACAUCGAGCAGGUAUUUAAGGUGACAUGGCAGGGCGAAACAGAGCGGUUUCAGAAGUUCAUCGGCGCUGGGAACAGGAUGCUUCUAUGGCAUGGUUCUCGGUUGACCAACUGGACCGGGAUAUUUUCUUGGGGUUUGCGAAUUGCUCCUCCUGAAGCGCCUAGCACCGGCUACAUGUUUGGGAAAGGGGUUUACUUUGCUGACAUGUUCUCCAAGAGUGCAAACUACUGCUAUCCUUCACAAGCAUCUAGAUCUGGAGUGCUGCUUCUAUGCGAGGUUGCGCUAGGCGAGAUGAACGAGCUACUAGAUGGCGAUAUAAAUGCUAAUAACCUGCCCGAGGGUAAACUAAGCACGAAGGGGGUUGGGAAGACGGCACCAGACAUGGCAGAGUCCAAGAUCACCGAUGACGGCAUGGUUGUUCCGCUCGGGAAACCUAAGAAGGCGUCCCGCGAUAACGGCGUCCUUUACUACAACGAGUACAUAGUGUACAACUUGGACCAGAUCAGGAUGCGGUAUGUCCUCCAUGUUUCCUUCAACUACAAACAGUAG